CUGGAGGCGUGGGGUGGGGAGGGGGACAGGGCGAACGUGUCGCUUCCCCCGUGGCCCGCGGUCUCAUUUUCCACAUCUGCGAACGGGGGGGGGCCUCCGUGUCUUCUAACUCUAAAUGCGGCUUUUUUUCUGUGAUUCUGCUGACUUUGGGAAACAGAUAAUGUCUCUGCCUCUUCCACGCGCCUUCCCCGGGACCUCGGAGGGGACGCGGCUAUUUGGCUGGGUGCCUAGGUCUGCCCCAGGAAAGGCAGACCGCCUUGCCAUCUGUCUGUCGUGGUAGUUUGUGGGGUCUUCUGGGCAACGCAGAACACAUGCUGGAGGGGCCCGUGUUCGGGCUUGCUGGAAGUUCCCUGCUGUGUCUUGUGUUAAUGAUUACGUUCCUUUGACCUUUCACACAGCUGUUGUAGCUGAGGCAGAAAUGGGAUGUCCCACCUAACAGUUCAUUCAACAGUUGACCAACCCUCAGCCACCUCCUCUUGCCGGGUGCCUGGCCUCGGGAACCCGACACAGAAUCACUGGGCUCCCACGAGUGUGGCUUGGGUGCCCACCCGCUCUCCCCUGACCCGUUUACUGGCGUUGGUGAGGUUUGCUGUCACGGCGAUCACGGAGCAGGGAGCAUCCUGGCUACACGUGGAGGUUGAGGCUGACUGGAGCCCUGGGCAGCAUGAGAUGGCUGGGGAGAGAACAGAACUCUGAAGGGGAGCCUGGAGGCGGAGGGACCACCCGGAGGGGUGCAAGGGGAGCAGGGACUGGCCUGAAGCUGGGGCUGUAGGAGCGAAGGGCCAGUGGGAGCGAGGGGCCAGCGGGAGCGAGGGGCCAGCGGGAGCGAGGGGCCAGCGCACGGUGGGGGGUGUGGCAUUCAGCCUGCUGUCAGCCCGGCAGCCGCCUGAGUCACCUCCGGAUGGAGCCAGGAUGACACAGCUUCCUCGAACCGCAAACACAAGGUGACCAGACGUCCCCCAAGCCGGGCAGACAGUCUUGUCUUGCCGGAGGGCAGCCAGCCAGGGCCAGCCUGCAGGCUGGGUGUGGGCCGGGCUGGUGGGGUGCACAGCGAGGUGCUGCGGGACACCCCCCACGUUGAGGGGAGCUGGGGUGUGACAUCAGCAGAACCCUGUGUCCGGAGGCGGGCAGGGUGGUCUGGAGGUGGUCCCAAGCCCUCCUGGUCCUGGGGCCUGUGUUCAGCCGGUGAGGCAACAGGUCACUGUGGACGAGUCAGCGUUUGCUUGUUUGUCAGGAGCCCGCUGUGUGGGUCAACCCCGCCGUGCAGCCAGCCGGAGGGGCGCUCAGCUUUGGUCACCUGUGAGAGGCCCGCAGCCCUGCAGAGCAGAGUCGGCCACAUCUGGGUGGCUUCUGGCUUCAGGGUUUGCACCUGUCAGGUGAAGCGGUUGCUGCUCUGCGGCCUGGAGUGGGAACCUGCUCCUCCAAGACGGAACCCCUCGGCUCCCCUCCUCCCUCUUCCCCACCCUGACAGCCUUGGGGACCUGGGAGGAUGGCAGUGGGAGGGGUACCCCACGCCUAGCAGUUGCUGGGAGGCUCCGGAGCGGCCGCCUCCGCUCUCUGCCCGCUGGAACAGGUG
This is a long non-coding RNA of Equus caballus (horse), 1576 nucleotides long. The record is from Ensembl. Lineage: Eukaryota; Metazoa; Chordata; Mammalia; Perissodactyla; Equidae.